CCGGUGAAGUGUUCGGAUUGCGGCGACGUGGGCGGUUCGCUGCCCGCGACGUUGUGAGAAGUCCACUGAACCUUAUCAUUUAGAGGAAGGAGAAGUCGUAACAAGGUUUCCGUAGGUGAACCUGCGGAAGGAUCAUUG
This 138-nucleotide ribosomal RNA is filed under the name Astragalus asterias. RNAcentral describes it as "partial 18S ribosomal RNA". It matches the Rfam family "Eukaryotic small subunit ribosomal RNA", at positions 1698 to 1831 of the family's 1831-position model. RNAcentral also lists the same sequence under 58 other names. Lineage: Eukaryota; Viridiplantae; Streptophyta; Magnoliopsida; Fabales; Fabaceae. The record is from RNAcentral.